RNAcentral lists this ribosomal RNA (253 nucleotides) under uncultured bacterium. RNAcentral describes it as "partial 16S ribosomal RNA". It matches the Rfam family "Bacterial small subunit ribosomal RNA", at positions 524 to 776 of the family's 1533-position model. The record is from RNAcentral.
UACAUGGGGUGCAAACGUUGCUCGGAAUUAUUGGGCGUAAAGCGCACGUAGGCGGUUCGUUAAGUCGGAUGUGAAAGCCCUCGGCUCAACUGAGGAAGUGCACCCGAAACUGGCGAGCUUGAGUACGAAAGAGGAUCGCGGAAUUCCCGGUGUAGAGGUGAAAUUCGUAGAUAUCGGGAGGAACACCAGUGGCGAAGGCGGCUCUCUGGGCAGAUACUGACGCUGAGACGCGAAAGCAUGGGGAGCAAACAGG